This 254-nucleotide ribosomal RNA is filed under the name uncultured bacterium. Its description in RNAcentral is "partial 16S ribosomal RNA". It matches the Rfam family "Archaeal small subunit ribosomal RNA", at positions 474 to 727 of the family's 1478-position model. The record is from RNAcentral.
UACCAGCACCCCGAGUGGUCGGGACGAUUAUUGGGCCUAAAGCAUCCGUAGCCGGCCUUACAAGUCCCCCGUUAAAUCCAACUGCUUAACAGAUGGGCUGCGGAGGAUACUAUAAGACUAGGAGGCAGGAGAGGCAAGCGGUACUCAGUGGGUAGGGGUAAAAUCCGUUGAUCCAUAGGGUACCACCAAAAGGCGAAGGCAAUUAACUAUUCCAUUUCUGACGUUGAGGCAUGAAAGCGUGGGGAGCAAACCGG